CGCGGAAGCAAGGCCGCACCGCUGUCUUCUGCUCGGACUUCACACACCUGCUGAAAUCAGACGAGAAAGGACCACCCCGGAUUGGUGUCCAGGCCCGACACCCUCAAGUCUGAAACUGGAUGAAUUUGGAAAUGUCGGACACGAUGGGGCGUCCAGACGGGACCCCGCGAGGGACAGUCCAUGCCUCCAGUUCUUUAUGGAUUUUUGGCAGUCACUAAGUGCUUCCCUCUGGGAAGGAGUGAGGUUAUCUGCUCAAAAGUCAAAGUCAAAGUCAACUUUAUUGUCAAUUCUUCAAUAUGCAGAGGACAUACG
Molecule: long non-coding RNA, 312 nt
Organism: Megalops cyprinoides (Indo-Pacific tarpon)
Lineage: Eukaryota; Metazoa; Chordata; Actinopteri; Elopiformes; Megalopidae
Exons: 4
Source: RefSeq, a predicted model, not a curated record